CCUAUGCUAACAGUGUGAUUUAUGGU
Molecule: non-coding RNA, 26 nt
Filed under: Homo sapiens (human)
Lineage: Eukaryota; Metazoa; Chordata; Mammalia; Primates; Hominidae
Source: RNAcentral